GUGCCAGCCGCCGCGGUAAUACGUAGGGUGCAAGCAUUAUCCGGAGUGACUGGGCGUAAAGAGUUGCGUAGGCGGUUUAAUAAGUGAAUAGUGAAACCUGGUGGCUCAACCAUACAGACUAUUAUUCAAACUGUUAAACUCGAGAAUGGUAGAGGUAACUGGAAUUUCUUGUGUAGGAGUGAAAUCCGUAGAUAUAAGAAGGAACACCAAUGGCGUAGGCAGGUUACUGGGCCAUUUCUGACGCUAAGGCACGAAAGCGUGGGGAGCGAACCGGAUUAGAUACCCGGGUAGUCCACGCCGUAAACGAUGGAUACUAGCUGUUGGAGGUAUCGACCCCUUCAGUAGCGAAGCUAACGCGUUAAGUAUCCCGCCUGUGGAGUACGGCCGCAAGGCUAAAACUCAAAUAAAUUGGCGG
RNAcentral lists this ribosomal RNA (415 nucleotides) under uncultured bacterium. RNAcentral's name for it is "bacterial SSU rRNA". It matches the Rfam family "Bacterial small subunit ribosomal RNA", at positions 505 to 916 of the family's 1533-position model. The record is from RNAcentral.